This 366-nucleotide transfer-messenger RNA is filed under the name Slackia heliotrinireducens. RNAcentral describes it as "Standard tmRNA". It matches the Rfam family "transfer-messenger RNA". Rfam says of the family: Bacterial tmRNA, also known as 10Sa RNA or SsrA, is named for its dual tRNA and mRNA-like properties. The record is from RNAcentral. Lineage: Bacteria; Bacillati; Actinomycetota; Coriobacteriia; Eggerthellales; Eggerthellaceae. RNAcentral also lists the same sequence under 1 other name.
GGGGGCGACUGGUUUCGACAUGGUAGGUUUGAAGUGAGGAGCAGGCCGUGGUCUCCUCGCCACGCUAAACAGGGGUACCGUCAAGUUAAUUGGCAAAUCUUACAAUACUGGCCGUAUGGCCCUUGCUGCUUAAUUAAAUAGCAGCUCGUCAAUGCGGGAAACGCUCCCGAGCCCGCUGCGACGUCAUUCUUAGGGAGAUGCAUUCGAGCACGUAGUCGGUAUGGCUCGAAUAAAGACCGAACCGGCUAGGGGUUGCAACGCUUGUCUGAGAGCCGAGCACCCCCGAAACCCGAUCCCAGACUAAGCUUGUAGAGCCUGACCGGGAAUCUAGUAUGGACCGGAGUUCGAUUCUCCGCGCCUCCACCA